GACCUGUUGGUGUACUCGGCAGCGCACCCACACACAAUAACUGAGAACUGAUCACCGACAGUUAUGUGGGAGGCCCCAGUUCGAAUCUGGGAUGGGUCA
Molecule: non-coding RNA, 99 nt
Organism: Mycena rebaudengoi
Lineage: Eukaryota; Fungi; Basidiomycota; Agaricomycetes; Agaricales; Mycenaceae
Source: the annotation of a GenBank genome assembly